UUCCUAUAAAAUAUAAAACAAAAAUAGUUAGAUAUAAGACAAGUUUACAUUCAAAAGAUAAAACCUCAAUUUUCCUUGUAAUUAAACUAAAAUAUAAAAAUAGAGGACAAUUAGCACUUCAAUGCAAGGAUGUAAAUGAAGCAAGGUGAGGUCGUGGAAGAUUCCCCCAUCUCAUCCUCAUUUGUAAAUUUAUCCUCAUCCCUGCCUCAUUCCU
Molecule: long non-coding RNA, 214 nt
Filed under: Vitis vinifera (wine grape)
Lineage: Eukaryota; Viridiplantae; Streptophyta; Magnoliopsida; Vitales; Vitaceae
Description: long non-coding RNA (VVIN_LNC000530)
Source: RNAcentral